RNAcentral lists this non-coding RNA (28 nucleotides) under Cricetulus griseus (Chinese hamster). Lineage: Eukaryota; Metazoa; Chordata; Mammalia; Rodentia; Cricetidae. The record is from RNAcentral.
UUCUGAGGUAUUGGGAAUUAGAACUUCA